Molecule: ribosomal RNA, 253 nt
Filed under: uncultured bacterium
Lineage: Bacteria
Description: partial 16S ribosomal RNA
Rfam family: Bacterial small subunit ribosomal RNA
Source: RNAcentral
UACGUAGGGUGCAAGCGUUAAUCGGAAUUACUGGGCGUAAAGCGUGCGCAGGCGGUGAUGUAAGACCGAUGUGAAAUCCCUCGGCUCAACCAAGGAAGUGCAUCCGAAACUGCUGAGCUUGAGUACGAAAGAGGAUCGCGGAAUUCCCGGUGUAGAGGUGAAAUUCGUAGAUAUCGGGAGGAACACCAGUGGCGAAGGCGGCGAUCUGGGUCGAUACUGACGCUGAGGUGCGAAAGCGUGGGGAGCAAACAGG